Molecule: small RNA, 701 nt
Filed under: Pongo abelii (Sumatran orangutan)
Lineage: Eukaryota; Metazoa; Chordata; Mammalia; Primates; Hominidae
Description: retained intron
Source: RNAcentral
CUCCUUUACCAGUUUGUAUCCAAGGGGCAUCCAGUUCAAACGGCCUCACACGGUCGCCCCCUGGCCACCUGCCUACCCGCUUGUCACCUCCUACCCACCCCUGAGCCCGCCAGACCUGCUCCCCAUCCCAAGAUCCCCGCAGCCCCUCGGGGGCUCCCACCGGACGCCAUCUUCCCGGCGGGAUUCUGAUGGUGUCAACAGUGUGGCGAGCUACGAGAACGAGGAACCAGCCUGUGAGGACGCGGAUGAGGAUGAGGAUGACUAUCACAACCCGGGCUACCUGGUGGUGCUUCCCGACAGCACCCCGGCUGCUAGCACUGCUGCCCCAUCAGCUCCUGCCCUCAGCACCCCUGGCAUCCGAGACAGUGCCUUCUCCAUGGAGUCCAUUGAUGAUUACGUGAACGUUCCGGAGAGCGGGGAGAGCGCAGAAGCGUCUCUGGAUGGCAGCCGGGAGUAUGUGAAUGUGUCCCAGGAACUGCAUCCUGGAGCGGCUAAGACUGAGCCUGCCGCCCUGAGUUCCCAGGAGGCAGAGGAAGUGGAGGAAGAGGGGGCUCCAGAUUACGAGAAUCUGCAGGAGCUGAACUGAGGGCCUGUGGAGGCCGAGUCUGUCCUGGAACCAGGCUUGCCUGGGACGGCUGAGCUGGGCAGCUGGAAGUGGCUCUGGGGUCCUCACAUGGCGUCCUGCCCUUGCUCCAGCAUGA